This 484-nucleotide ribosomal RNA is filed under the name uncultured bacterium. RNAcentral's name for it is "partial 16S ribosomal RNA". It matches the Rfam family "Bacterial small subunit ribosomal RNA", at positions 29 to 507 of the family's 1533-position model. The record is from RNAcentral.
AUUGAACGCUGGCGGCAUGCUUUACACAUGCAAGUCGAACGGCAGCGCGGGCUUCGGCCUGGCGGCGAGUGGCGAACGGGUGAGUAAUACAUCGGAACGUGCCCAGUUGUGGGGGAUAGCUCGGCGAAAGCCGGAUUAAUACCGCAUACGACCUGAGGGUGAAAGCGGGGGAUCUUCGGACCUCGCGCUAUUGGAGCGGCCGAUGGCAGAUUAGCUAGUUGGUGGGGUAAAGGCCUACCAAGGCGACGAUCUGUAGCUGGUCUGAGAGGACGACCAGCCACACUGGGACUGAGGCACGGCCCAGACGCCUACGAGAGGCAGCAGUGGGGAAUUUUGGACAAUGGGCGAAAGCCUGAUCCAGCAAUGCCGCGUGUGUGAUGAAGGCCUUCGGGUUGUAAAGCACUUUUGGCGGGAACGAAAAGGACUGGGCCAAUACCACGGUUCGAUGACGGUACCCGCAGAAUAAGCACCGGCUAACUACGUG